UUGGCUCUCACCUCCUGAAUCGUCACUUCCGUACAAGAGUGAGUGAGGAUUACGUGAAGGCUGAGGAGGAGGAGAUGCAGUAAGGUGUACGGAAAGGGUCGGGGGUUUGUUGGGAUUUAGGUGUGUGUGUAUGUGUAUAGGGGGCCCAGAAGUCGACACACACACGAGUGAUGAGGCGGAUGAGGGCGCUCAUCGGGGAAGGUACCCCGCCGGGUUCC
Molecule: long non-coding RNA, 218 nt
Filed under: Volvox carteri
Lineage: Eukaryota; Viridiplantae; Chlorophyta; Chlorophyceae; Chlamydomonadales; Volvocaceae
Description: long non-coding RNA (VCAR_LNC003476)
Source: RNAcentral